Molecule: unclassified non-coding RNA, 345 nt
Filed under: soil metagenome
Description: partial contains 5.8S ribosomal RNA, internal transcribed spacer 2, and large subunit ribosomal RNA
Rfam family: 5.8S ribosomal RNA (bases 1-120)
Source: RNAcentral
GAUGAAGAACGUAGCGAAAUGCGAUAAGUAAUGUGAAUUGCAGAAUUCCGUGAAUCAUCGAGUCUUUGAACGCACAUUUCGCCCCCUGGUAUUCCGGGGGGCAUGCCUGUCCGAGCGUCAUUGCUGCCCUCAAGCACGGCUUGUGUGUUGGGCCUCCGUCCUCCUCCCGGGGGACGGGCCCGAAAGGCAGCGGCGGCACCGCGUCCGGUCCUCGAGCGUAUGGGGCUUCGUCACCCGCUCUUGUAGGCCCGGCCGGCGCUUGCCGACACAUCAAUCUUUUUUCCAGGUUGACCUCGGAUCAGGUAGGGAUACCCGCUGAACUUAAGCAUAUCAAUAAGCGGAGGA